GAAAUCGAGAAAUCGGGAAAUAGGGAAAUCGAGAAAGCAAAAACGAGAUAUAAAAAAAAGUCAUUUUGCGUUUAUGCUUUCUCGAUUUCUCCAUUUCUCGAUUUCUCGAUUUC
Molecule: small RNA, 113 nt
Filed under: Mytilus galloprovincialis (Mediterranean mussel)
Lineage: Eukaryota; Metazoa; Mollusca; Bivalvia; Mytilida; Mytilidae
Source: RNAcentral